UAGCGGAUACCUUGCCCGCCGGAUCCGUGGUUUCGCGUACCGUCCCGGUCGGGAGCUCUAUCUCGGUCUGGUCGUGCGCGUUGCUUCCGGAUAUCACCAAACCCCGGCACGAAAAGUGUCAAGGAACAUGCAACCGAGCGGCCGGCAUUCGCCUCCCCGGAGACGGAGUGUGCGUGGAUGUUGAGCUGCGAUCUAAAGUCUAAAACGACUCUCGGCAACGGAUAUCUCGGCUCUCGCAUCGAUGAAGAACGUAGCGAAAUGCGAUACUUGGUGUGAAUUGCAGAAUCCCGUGAACCAUCGAGUCUUUGAACGCAAGUUGCGCCCCAAGCCUUCUGGCCGAGGGCACGUCUGCCUGGGUGUCACAAAUCGUCGUCCCCCAUAUCCUCUAAGGAUUCGGGACGGAAGCUGGUCUCCCGUGUGUUACCGCACGCGGUUGGCCAAAAUCCGAGCCAAGGACGCAGGGAGCGUCCCGACAUGCGGUGGUGAACUCGAUCCACUUUCAUAUCGUCGGCCCGCUCCUGUCCAGAGGCUCUAGAUGACCCCANAGUCCUCAAAGCGAC
RNAcentral lists this ribosomal RNA (560 nucleotides) under Halimolobos perplexus. RNAcentral's name for it is "eukaryotic LSU rRNA". The stretch from base 207 to 362 matches the Rfam family "5.8S ribosomal RNA". Lineage: Eukaryota; Viridiplantae; Streptophyta; Magnoliopsida; Brassicales; Brassicaceae. The record is from RNAcentral.